AGGACGAACGCUGGCGGCGUGCCUAACACAUGCAAGUCGAACGGACGAGAGGAGCUUGCUCCUCGAGUUAGUGGCGAACGGGUGAGUAACGCGUGAGCAACCUGCCUUUCAGAGGGGGACAACGGUUGGAAACGACCGCUAAUACCGCAUGAUGCAUUUUGGUCGCAUGAUCGGGAUGCCAAAGAUUUAUCGCUGAAAGAUGGGCUCGCGUCUGAUUAGAUAGUUGGUGGGGUAACGGCCUACCAAGUCGACGAUCAGUAGCCGGACUGAGAGGUUGAACGGCCACAUUGGGACUGAGAUACGGCCCAGACUCCUACGGGAGGCAGCAGUGGGGAAUAUUGGGCAAAGUGGGGGAAACCCUGACCCAGCAACGCCGCGUGAAGGAAGAAGGCUUUCGGGUUGUAAACUUCUUUACCAGGGACGAAGGACGUGACGGUACCUGGAGAAAAAGCCACGGCUAACUACGUGCCAGCAGCAGC
RNAcentral lists this ribosomal RNA (479 nucleotides) under uncultured bacterium. RNAcentral describes it as "bacterial SSU rRNA". It matches the Rfam family "Bacterial small subunit ribosomal RNA", at positions 26 to 518 of the family's 1533-position model. The record is from RNAcentral.